RNAcentral lists this ribosomal RNA (440 nucleotides) under uncultured bacterium. Its description in RNAcentral is "partial 16S ribosomal RNA". It matches the Rfam family "Bacterial small subunit ribosomal RNA", at positions 338 to 795 of the family's 1533-position model. The record is from RNAcentral.
CCUACUGUAGGCAGCAGUGGGGGAUAUUGCACAAUUGAGGGAACUCUGAUGCAGCGACGCCGCGUGAGGGAAGAAGGUUUUCGGAUUGUAAACCUCUGUCUUCGGUGACGAAACGAGACGGUAGCCGCGGAGGAAGCCACGGCUAACUACGUUCCAGCAGCCACGGUAAGACGUAGGUGGCACGCGUUUUCCGGAAUUACUGUGUGUAAAGGGAGCGUAGGCAGGAAAGCAAGUUGAAUGUUUAAGGUACGGGCUCAAACUGUACAAGCGUUUAAAACUGUUUUUCUUGAGUGGAGUAGAGGGAAGCGGAAGUCCUAGUGUAGCGGUGAAAUGAGGAAAGAGUAGGAGGAACACCAGUGGCGAAGGCGGCUUACUGGGCUUUAACGGACGCUGAGGCUCGAAAGCGUGGGUAGCAAACAGGAGUAGAUAACCGGGUAGUC